Molecule: long non-coding RNA, 1844 nt
Filed under: Canis lupus familiaris (dog)
Lineage: Eukaryota; Metazoa; Chordata; Mammalia; Carnivora; Canidae
Description: lncRNA (ENSCAFG00845019418.1)
Source: RNAcentral
GCAGAGGGCAGAUUAAACUGGAUAGAAAUUGGCAAUGGAGUAAAAGGUAGACCAGAAAGCCAAACUAAAUAAAUUCUGUAAGAAAGCACUCUGAUUAUUUGGAUUGGCUGUCUAGCCCUCUCUGCUUUUUUCUUAACGUGGUAGAGGCUAGAUGCCUUGAGGAGAUGCUUGAUUCCUAGCAAUCCCAAACCUUUCAUUUAGAUCUACAUUGUUCUCAGCCCAGUACCUCAGAUUGCAGUGAGUUAAUCCUGCUCUCACUUCAUGGCUAUCGCAUGGGCUUUGGGGUAAGAAAAACUCAAAAUCAAACCUCAGAUUUACUAUCACUAUGUGACUUUGAACAAUUUGGUUAAACUCUUUGAAUGUGUGUGUGUGUGUGAUUUAAUGUAUGUAUAUCGCUUAGUUUCCUAAAUGACACAUAGUAUCCAAUAAAUGAAAUGUACUAAGACUAUGAGCUUUCUUUGGGGAUGUAAGUUAAAAAUAAAAUGACAUAAAGUUAAUAAAAAGAUAAAAGAAUUUCUGUUUUGCUUUAAAGUUUCUUGCUGAGUGUUUAUUUUGAUACGUUGAAUGAAAGCAGAUAAGGCAUUAAUUCUAAUUUAAAAAUGAAGCUAGAAGCUAAAAAAAAAAAAAGAAGGAAAACCUCACAAUUUCCUAAUAAAUUAGAAAUCUCAAGAGAAAUGAAUCAAUGACAACAUGGUCCUAUAUCAUGCACAGAACUCUUUUUAUUAUUUCUGGUUAUAAUUUCUCUAAUUUGUACAAAUGGCCUUCAUUUCCUGAGGUUUGAGUUAUCCAGGAGACUGAUGACAAAAGAUCUGCAAUCUUGUAAUUCAAGAUAAAUACUCAUUACAAAUAUAGAAGAGUGACAUCAGUCCCUUGAAUUUAGAGAUCACAAUUACAAGCAUUCAAAAAAUAUGUAAAUUUACUAAAGGCAUACGCAGUAUAAAAUUCAAUGUGAUAAGAGAGUACGUUCUCUUAAGGUACAAAAUUUUGUAUUAGCAGUUGCUUAGUAUAAAAUUUCUAAACUCUCUUGAAAUUCAGAUAUCAAGUUUAACAUUUGUAUCAGGUAUUAUUAUGAAAAUUCUUCCACUACUUAAAAGCUUACUUAUCUUUUCAGCUUUACCUAUUCAACAACUUGUGGAAUUUCUUUGAAAAAUAAAGUUAAGUAUAAUUAAAUUGUUAACAUUAUUAUUAUAUUUUUCCUUUUAUUUAAAAAAUAAUAGUAUUUUGAUAAAUGGUAUAUUUUAUAGACAUGUAUACUAUCUCUGUAUUUCCAACUCUCUCACUGACUCAUAGUAACCCAGUAAGUCAGUAAAUAUUCCUAAUUUGGCUCACAGGGGUUUAUUCAAGGUUCUAAGAGAAAUCUGUUUUUAGUGUUAAUAUAAUUGUAAAACUUGAGGCUAUUACUACAUAGUAAUACAUUUUUUUUCAGUAUCAUUCAAAAGCCUAUUGUUUUCAAAGAGAGUUAGAAAAUAGGAAGUUCAACUUUACAAUUACAAUUAAAUCUAGUAAAAUGGGUCUUAUACACAGCUUGAAAAAGUAAAUGCAGGAUAGGACCAACUUUCUGCAGGGCAAUUUAAAACCCUCCACUUAUCCCCUUAAAUUUUCAUGUAUUUUAUAAAUUAAUUUCACUUCUAUAAAUGUAACUAAUAGGGGAAAAUCAGAGAUGUAUGAAGAUAUUUACAAAAAAGAUAGUAAAUAUAACAAUAUCUUACCAUAACAAACUGGAACACCUAAAAUAUCUAGUAGAAUGGAAUUAAGUAAUUCUAAGCUCUAAUAUAAUACAAUGUAGCAUUUAAUUAUUUUUAAAUUAAUAUGUAGAGACAUGGAAAUAUGCUUAUAACAUAAAA